ACCCGCUGAACUUAAGCAUAUCAAUAAGCGGAGGAAAAGAAACCAACAGGGAUUGCCCUAGUAACGGCGAGUGAAGCGGCAACAGCUCAAAUUUGAAAUCUGGCUUUCGGGCCCGAGUUGUAAUUUGUAGAGGAUACUUUUGAUGCGGUGCCUUCCGAGUUCCCUGGAACGGGACGCCAUAGAGGGUGAGAGCCCCGUCUGGUUGGAUGCCAAAUCUCUGUAAAGUUCCUUCGACGAGUCGAGUAGUUUGGGAAUGCUGCUCUAAAUGGGAGGUAUAUGUCUUCUAAAGCUAAAUAUUGGCCAGAGACCGAUAGCGCACAAGUAGAGUGAUCGAAAGAUGAAAAGCACUUUGAAAAGAGAGUUAAAAAGUACGUGAAAUUGUUGAAAGGGAAGCGUCUAUGACCAGACUUGGACUUGGUUAAUCAUCUGGGGUUCUCCCCAGUGCACUUUUCCAGUUCAGGCCAGCAUCAGUUUUCGCCGGGGGAUAAAGGCAGCGGGAAUGUGGCUCUCCUCGGGGAGUGUUAUAGCCCGUUGUGUAAUACCCUGGUGGGGACUGAGGUUCGCGCUUCUGCAAGGAUGCUGGCGUAAUGGUCAU
RNAcentral lists this ribosomal RNA (595 nucleotides) under uncultured fungus. RNAcentral describes it as "eukaryotic LSU rRNA". It matches the Rfam family "Eukaryotic large subunit ribosomal RNA", at positions 23 to 641 of the family's 3401-position model. Lineage: Eukaryota; Fungi. The record is from RNAcentral.